RNAcentral lists this ribosomal RNA (614 nucleotides) under uncultured Bacteroidota bacterium. RNAcentral's name for it is "bacterial SSU rRNA". It matches the Rfam family "Bacterial small subunit ribosomal RNA", at positions 90 to 701 of the family's 1533-position model. The record is from RNAcentral. Lineage: Bacteria; Pseudomonadati; Bacteroidota.
UACGACCGGCGCACGGGUGCGUAACGCGUAUAGAACCUACCUUUUACAGGAGAAUAGCCCAGAGAAAUUUGGAUUAAUGCUCCAUAGUAUUAUUGAACUGGCAUCGUUUAAUAAUUAAAGUCUCGGCGGUAAAAGAUGGCUAUGCGUUCUAUUAGCUAGUUGGUACGGUAACGGCGUACCAAGGCGACGAUAGAUAGGGGUCCUGAGAGGGAGAUCCCCCACACUGGUACUGAGACACGGACCAGACUCCUACGGGAGGCAGCAGUGAGGAAUAUUGGACAAUGGAGGCAACUCUGAUCCAGCCAUGCCGCGUGCAGGAAGACGGCCCUAUGGGUUGUAAACUGCUUUUAUACGGGAAGAAACCCAACUACGUGUAGUUGGCUGACGGUACCGUAAGACUAAGCACCGGCUAACUCCGUGCCAGCAGCCGCGGUACUACGGAGGGUGCAAGCGUUAUCCGGAAUCAUUGGGUUUAAAGGGUCCGUAGGCGGACUGAUAAGUCAGGGGUGAAAUCCAACAGCUUAACUGUUGAACUGCCUUUGAUACUGUUAGUCUUGAAUUAUAUGGAAGUAGAUAGAAUGUGUAGUGUAGCGGUGAAAUGCUUAGAGAUUACA